RNAcentral lists this ribosomal RNA (669 nucleotides) under Brugia pahangi. RNAcentral describes it as "SSU rRNA". It matches the Rfam family "Eukaryotic small subunit ribosomal RNA", at positions 1089 to 1783 of the family's 1831-position model. The record is from RNAcentral. Lineage: Eukaryota; Metazoa; Nematoda; Chromadorea; Rhabditida; Onchocercidae.
GACGGGCAGCUUCCCGGAAACGAAAGUUUUUCGGUUCCGGGGGAAGUAUGGUUGCAAAGCUGAAACUUAAAGAAAUUGACGGAAGGGCACCACCAGGAGUGGAGCCUGCGGCUUAAUUUGACUCAACACGGGAAAACUCACCUGGCCCGGACACCGUGAGGAUUGACAGAUUGAGAGCUCUUUCAUGAUUCGGUGGUUGGUGGUGCAUGGCCGUUCUUAGUUGGUGGAGUGAUUUGUCUGGUUUAUUCCGAUAACGAGCGAGACUCUAGCCUACUAAAUAGUUACUGGAUAAUUUUAUCGUCCAGACAACUUCUUAGAGGGACAAGCGGUGUUUAGCCGCAUGAAGUUGAGCAAUAACAGGUCUGUGAUGCCCUUARAUGUCCAGGGCUGCACGCGCGCUACACUGGAGGAAUCAKCGUGCUGUAACCAUUACCGAAAGGUAUUGGUAACCCCUUGAAAAUCCUCCGUGAUCGGGAUCGGGAAUUGCAAUUAUUUCCCUUGAACGAGGAAUUCCUAGUAAGUGUGAGUCAUCAGCUCACGUUGAUUACGUCCCUGCCCUUUGUACACACCGCCCGUCGCUGCCCGGGACUGAGCCGUUUCGAGAAAAGCGGAGACUGCUGUUUCAAUACCUUUCAAGGGUAGAGAUUCUUUGGUGGAAACUGCUUUAAU